This 207-nucleotide unclassified non-coding RNA is filed under the name fungal sp. Its description in RNAcentral is "partial internal transcribed spacer region". The stretch from base 1 to 46 matches the Rfam family "Eukaryotic small subunit ribosomal RNA", at positions 1786 to 1831 of the family's 1831-position model. The record is from RNAcentral. Lineage: Eukaryota; Fungi.
AAGUCGUAACAAGGUCUCCGUAGGUGAACCUGCGGAGGGAUCAUUAAAACACGUAUCCACGUAUCAACCUUUUGUGAACUGUUUUUAACCUCCAUUUUUAACGCUUGAACUUUUAACUGUAAACUGUUAUGUGUCUUAACACGUCACAUAAUAACAAAUAAUAACCAAUUGAUAUCACAACUCUUAGCAACGGAUAUCUUGGCUCUC